UUAUGGCCAUAUCACGUUGAAAUACCAGUUCCAAUAUGAUCAGUGAAGUUAAGCACCAUUGAGUCUGGUUGGUACCUAGAUGGGUGACUACUUGAGAAUAUCAGGUGCUGUAAG
This is a non-coding RNA of Acanthosepion pharaonis, 114 nucleotides long. Lineage: Eukaryota; Metazoa; Mollusca; Cephalopoda; Sepiida; Sepiidae. The record is from the annotation of a GenBank genome assembly.